GUUAUUGAGGGCAAGGGCUACCUCUCGCUGUUUGUAUGUAUGUACCAUGUCUUGCUCACUGGGACCUUGGUGAUGGCUUCAUCUCUGCAUGUAAAUAAUAACACUCAGCUCCUCUUCUAGGAAGUCACAGAAAGAGAAGGAGUUGGCAGACAGCUGUAUAAACCAGCAACAGGUGACAACCUUCACGGAAUGGGAUGAAGUAAGGAAAUACAGACACCAUGCAGAACCCACUCAGGGAAUCCCAUUGGGAUCUCCAGGAAGCGCAGGCAAAGGCAGGAAUGGGCUACCAAUGGGAAUCUAGACUAAGAUGGCUGGAGAGCAACUAUUCCUUACAUAUCACAUCAGAAAUGCCUUUGUCAACAUUAAUCAACCCUGCUGACAGCUUUGGGAGGAGGGGAAAGAGGAAACACAUUUCAUAGCGAUAUCCCCCAGAUUUUCUGCUGUCAAAUUUGGGCACUCCAAGAUUUUGCUGCACUACAAACUGGAAGCACCAAAAACUGCAAAGCUGCUCUUAGAGAACAGCACUGUUUCUCACCAG
Gallus gallus (chicken) is the source of this 538-nucleotide long non-coding RNA. NCBI's taxonomy places the organism in Eukaryota, Metazoa, Chordata, Aves, Galliformes, Phasianidae. The record is from Ensembl.